CCUUAUAGCUAGUUUACCUUGUCUAAUCUCAAGAGCUAAGCAGGUCAGGCUGGGUUGAUAUGUGGAUGGGAGACUAUCAGGAAAUCCCAGAGCUUAUGGC
This 100-nucleotide ribosomal RNA is filed under the name Salvator merianae (Argentine black and white tegu). The record is from RNAcentral. Lineage: Eukaryota; Metazoa; Chordata; Lepidosauria; Squamata; Teiidae.